AGUAUCUCAGUCUCACAACCUCCAGUGGCAGACAGAUGGAUAGAGAGCUAUGUAAUCAUCAACAGAAGCCUGUGAUAUUUUGUCCUCACAUAUCAUCAUGUGGAGAAGCUCCAACGGCCUUUUGUCUGCUUGCUGAAAUGAUGUGUGGUUGGCGCAAAGCUUAUUACUCUAAUUGAGCUUUUAUCAAGACAAAACCUUUACAGAAAGGGCAAUUUUAUCCCAAAGACACCUUGGAUUAAUUCACCAGUUUUCCCCAUGACAGCAGAGGAAAUGGGGAUGAGUGGACUUACCAAAACAGUGAGAACAUAUUGUUUGCACACAGUGUCAUCCAAAGCCCUCCAGCUAUCAAACGAUUGCCAGAUAUGUUUAUUAAACCCCCUGUGCUUGGAAUGAACACAGAAAACUGUCAUCUGGAGCAAGAGGAAAGUGCCUAUCGCAGCUGGAGAUCUCGCUGUUAUGAAUAAAGGAAGAGUUUUGUGGUACAGUUGUGAGAUGUAAAGAGAAAGGCUUCCCUAUUGUGCAAAUGUGUCGGAACCCUCAGGCAAGAGAAAUAUUAAAUUGUUUCUGGUAGUACAAUGUAAUUACUGAGUUAGAUAAGGAAUAAUAUCUGGUCUAUGUUUAGAUAAAGAGAGAUAUCAAACUCACUGGCUGGCCUUACACUGCUGGGAACUAAAAUUCCCAGCAUUCUUAGCUGGAUACAGUAGUUCCCAACAACUUCUUUUUAUUAGCUGGAUGUAGAAUAUUUUGAUUACAGUGCAAUACAGCAACUUUAGAUAUAAUAGCAGCUCAAGGCAAUUGUAUAAUAAAUAGUGCGCUACUGAUGAUACUGGAACUUCUUUCUAGGAUUCUACGAUGGGAAUUCUCAAAUGAAAUGAAAGGGGUGAUUCACCCUUAAGUUAACAUACAUGUAGUAUGUUAUAGAAUGGCUAAUUCUAAGCAACUUUUCAACCAGGUCC
This is a long non-coding RNA of Xenopus laevis (African clawed frog), 956 nucleotides long. RefSeq lists it as uncharacterized. Lineage: Eukaryota; Metazoa; Chordata; Amphibia; Anura; Pipidae. The record is from RefSeq and is a predicted model, not a curated record. The transcript is spliced from 3 exons.